Molecule: transfer RNA, 65 nt
Filed under: Sphaeroderma testaceum
Lineage: Eukaryota; Metazoa; Arthropoda; Insecta; Coleoptera; Chrysomelidae
Description: tRNA-Phe
Source: RNAcentral
ACUUAAAUAGCUUAUAUAAGAGCGUGAUAUUGAAGAUAUCAAAGAAGUUUGUUUACUUUUAAGUA